RNAcentral lists this ribosomal RNA (161 nucleotides) under uncultured bacterium. RNAcentral describes it as "partial 16S ribosomal RNA". It matches the Rfam family "Bacterial small subunit ribosomal RNA", at positions 358 to 511 of the family's 1533-position model. The record is from RNAcentral.
GGAAUCUUCCACAAUGGACGCAAGUCUGAUGGAGCAACGCCGCGUGACUGAAGAAGGGUUUCGGCUCGUAAAGCUCUGUUGUUAAAGAAGAACGUGGGUAAGAGUAACUGUUUACCCAGUGACGGUAUUUAACCAGAAAGCCGCGGCUAACUACGUGCCAG